RNAcentral lists this ribosomal RNA (253 nucleotides) under uncultured bacterium. RNAcentral's name for it is "partial 16S ribosomal RNA". It matches the Rfam family "Bacterial small subunit ribosomal RNA", at positions 524 to 776 of the family's 1533-position model. The record is from RNAcentral.
UACGGAGGGUGCAAGCGUUGCUCGGAUUUACUGGGCGUAAAGCGCACGCAGGCGGUCUGGAAGGUCGGGUGUGAAAGCCCGGGGCUCAACCCCGGAACUGCACUCGAAACCGCCAGACUUGAGGUCGAGAGAGGAGGGUAGAAUUCCUGGUGUAGAGGUGAAAUUCGUUGAUAUCAGGAGGAAUACCGGUGGCGAAGGCGGCCCUCUGGCUCGAUUCUGACGCUCAUGUGCGAAAGCGUGGGGAGCAAACAGG